Molecule: non-coding RNA, 1257 nt
Organism: Odocoileus virginianus texanus
Lineage: Eukaryota; Metazoa; Chordata; Mammalia; Artiodactyla; Cervidae
Source: RefSeq, a predicted model, not a curated record
UUCUGCCCCUGUGUGGAGCCACCAGCAUGGACGGGGUCCACUGCCUGGAGUUUGUUCAGUAGAGCCCUCUGGUCGGCAGGGAGGCCAGGAACUCCCUUGUUCCAGGUGGUGAGGAGACGCCCCAUCUGUGCAGCAUCCUCUUGUGGAGAGUGAGCUGGGGCUCGCCUCUCACAGGGAGCUUCCGAGCCGGCAAAGGUGGCAGACAUCCGAGCUUCUGACGGUGCCCGGGACGACCCUGUUCUCGGUGACUGCGAAUGUCGACGAAUGACUGAAUGGACAGCCAGACUCCAUGUUGCUGAGACUGAGCCUUUCCGAAAAGCCGUGAGCAGCGCUCGCAUCCUGAGCAGAAAGAUUCCUGACAGAGGCAUUUACGCAUUAUGCACAUUCCAUGAAGGAGCCUUUUAAGGGGGCAUGGUCAUCAUAUCUUCAUCACCCACGGCCUGAAUGCCCAUCACGUGGCCCCUGUCAUCAGGGAUACGGAGAUGGUCCUCGUGCCCACAGAGCUUACAGGCAGGGCCGGGGCUGCUGAAAUUGCACAUCUCUGUCUCGGGGUUCAGUCCCAGCCUCUCUCCUGCAACAGAGCCUGGCAGACUAGUCCUUGAAGGGACUAGCUUCAAGGGAGGACUCCUUGGCUUCCUAGUCUACCUGAUCACGGAAAAGGCCCCUUAAAGGAAGAUACUGCAGCUUGCAACUCUACAGAUACCAGCAGCAGAAGAAAAACAUGGGCAACUGCUGAUAACCUAAUGUGGAGAAUUAAACUCCAACGAAGCAAAGCGUGCUUGUUACUUCCUCUGAGGAAGUCUCCCCUGAUGCUGCAGGGUAGAUGAGAGCUCCUCCUCUGUGAUCCCACCAAGCCCUGCAUGUUCCUCCAGCUUCUCACUCAACCCACUGGAUUAUCCUGAGUUCAUCUGUUCUACCAGACUGUCAACUCCUUGAGCCUAGAGAGUGUGUGAUAAAACUUAUUUAGUGAAGCACACAGUAGGGCAUAGGCAGCAGCUCACUUGUUAAGUUGGGCAAAUGGUGAAAGUUGACAGAGAAAAUGGCGAGUGUGGGAAGAACACCAAAGGGAAUCUCUACUUUCAGCUGAAGGUAAAUCCCCACCUUUUCCAUCCUAGAAAAUGCAGGACAUUCUCCCUGAGACCUGAGUCCCCGAGGGAUGUGACUCACGUGUCUCUUCCAGGGAAGAAAGGAGCCAUGGAGGCUUGGGAGAUGGCCUCAGCGCCUGAGGAAAGGGGGUGUCCCCUGCCACUUUGCAGG